RNAcentral lists this ribosomal RNA (466 nucleotides) under Peribacillus simplex. RNAcentral describes it as "bacterial SSU rRNA". It matches the Rfam family "Bacterial small subunit ribosomal RNA", at positions 61 to 510 of the family's 1533-position model. Lineage: Bacteria; Bacillati; Bacillota; Bacilli; Caryophanales; Bacillaceae. The record is from RNAcentral.
GUCGAGCGAAUCGAYGGGAGCUUGCUCCCUGAGAUUAGCGGCGGACGGGUGAGUAACACGUGGGCAACCUGCCUAUAAGACUGGGAUAACUUCGGGAAACCGGAGCUAAUACCGGAUACGUUCUUUUCUCGCAUGAGAGAAGAUGGAAAGACGGUUUACGCUGUCACUUAUAGAUGGGCCCGCGGCGCAUUAGCUAGUUGGUGAGGUAAUGGCUCACCAAGGCGACGAUGCGUAGCCGACCUGAGAGGGUGAUCGGCCACACUGGGACUGAGACACGGCCCAGACUCCUACGGGAGGCAGCAGUAGGGAAUCUUCCGCAAUGGACGAAAGUCUGACGGAGCAACGCCGCGUGAACGAAGAAGGCCUUCGGGUCGUAAAGUUCUGUUGUUAGGGAAGAACAAGUACCAGAGUAACUGCUGGUACCUUGACGGUACCUAACCAGAAAGCCACGGCUAACUACGUGCCA